Neofelis nebulosa (Clouded leopard) is the source of this 1294-nucleotide long non-coding RNA. RefSeq lists it as uncharacterized. NCBI's taxonomy places the organism in Eukaryota, Metazoa, Chordata, Mammalia, Carnivora, Felidae. The transcript has 2 exons. The record is from RefSeq and is a predicted model, not a curated record.
CAGGGAAAGGCCCGGCAGCCCGCGGGCGUGAAAGGUGCCCCCACGCGGGAUGGACGGACAAAGGCCCGCCCCCCUUUCCGCAGUCCCCCCGUUUUCUUCACUGCCUCCCCCUGGCCAAGAACAUGGGUGGGAUUCGGGAUGGAGCUCCGAAUGGAGCAGAGGGAAGAGGUCUCCCAGCCUACGCGACAGAAUCUGCAGGAGCUGGCGCGCUUCCUCCUCCUCUUCUUCGGUCGCCGCCGCCGCCACCGCCUCCCCCCCAGCCGCCGGCCCCGCGCUCGGCUCCGCAGGCAAGGUAGCCAUGUUUUGCAACUUUGGGAAGUUCCUCCCUCCUUCUCCUCCUCCCUCGGGCUUUCCCCAGCCCCCUCCCCCGCCCGUCCCCCCCCCUCCGCCCUCCCCUUCGCGCUUCCCGAUCUUCAACCCCCCGCCGACCCCGCGUCUCCCCCAGCAGUGCCAGGCCCAGCUCUCCACUAGGGUCUCUGUCCCAGUGUCUGUGUGUGUGCCCGCCCCCCUCCCCGUCUGUCCGUGAUUCUCCUUUUGUUUUCCCUCCGCCUCAGGCCGCGCUUUUUCCUCCCCCCGCGUGUGCCUCAGGCUGAGGGCCUCAGUUUCCCCAUCGGGACAACGGAGAAGGUAACGGGCCGUCCGGGAAGGCUAAGGGCGCGAAGCCACCUCCGCCCGGAGACUAAGCUCCUGCACGCCUCCGUCUCCAGAGUCCUCUGAAGGCCCCCCCAUGCCCCAUCUCGGCCCGCGCUCCGCCCCUCGGAAUUCCCGGCUCCGCAGGGGGGCGGGUCCGGCAGGGAGAAGGGGCGGGGGAAACGGGUUAGAAAGUUUGCAGCAACUUUUCUUGAGCUAGUCGCUGGGACCGAGGCGCGUGGCCCGCGCAAGCGCAGUAGGAGGAGGUUGGCCGCGCGCGCGCGCGCGCGCGCGCGCAGCCGGCCCAACCCCCUUCUUGCCGGCCUGCGGGUGGCACAGCUGGGCCACAGCUGGGCAAGGGGCGGUGCCUCCGGGCGGCUCGCUAGCCACCUCCUAUUGGCCGGCUGCCGAAGCCACGCCUUUCAGCGUCCCCACCCCCACCCCCAGCCCGGAUUCGUCUGCUUGGCGGCCCUGUAGCUUCUUGCCAGGCCAUUGGGCGCCUCCACUCGCCUUCCAAUUGGCCCACUGAGCAGCCUCGUUCCCGCAACGCAAAGAGAGCGGACACCGCGGAGUCCAGAGCGUUGGGCAGACGGGAGGGCCUUUUAUUCGCGAGGAUCGGGGGUGGGGGUCCUAGGUGUGGAGAGACAAUAAAUACUGAGGAAUG